GACGAACGCUGGCGGCGUGCCUAACACAUGCAAGUCGAGCGGAGUCGAUCGACGGAAGCCUUCGGGCGGAAGAUGGUUGACUUAGCGGCGGAUGGGUGAGUAACGCGUGGGCAACCUGCCUCGAAGACCGGGAUAACAGCCCGAAAGGGCUGCUAAUACCGGAUGUGGUCAAGGAUCCGCAUGGAUUUUUGAUUAAAGGGGAAACCCGUUUCGAGAUGGGCCCGCGUCCUAUCAGCUAGUUGGUGAGGUAAAAGCUCACCAAGGCGACGACGGGUAGCCGGCCUGAGAGGGUGACCGGCCACACUGGAACUGAGACACGGUCCAGACUCCUACGGGGGGCAGCAGUGGGGAAUCUUCCACAAUGGGCGAAAGCCUGAUGGAGCGACGCCGCGUGAGCGAAGAAGGCCUCGGUGUAACUAGCUUUCCUAGGGGCGGAAUAGCUCUUACGUGUAAGGGUAGUAGACUGUACCUUGGGUAAUAAGACAUCGGCUAACUCCGUGCCACGCAGCCGCGGUAAAGAGUAGUAA
Molecule: ribosomal RNA, 527 nt
Filed under: uncultured bacterium
Lineage: Bacteria
Description: bacterial SSU rRNA
Rfam family: Bacterial small subunit ribosomal RNA
Source: RNAcentral